UACAGAGGGUGCGAACGUUGUUCGGAAUUACUGGGCAUAAAGAGCACGUAGGCGGCACCGCAAGUGUGGGGUGAAAUCCCACGGCUUACCCGUGGAACUGCCUGGCAGACUGCGGUGCUAGAGGUUGGUAGGGGAGAGCGGAACUCUUGGUGGAGCGGUGAAAUUCGUAGAUAUUCGCAAGAACACCAGUGGCGAAGGCGGCUCACUGGCCCGGUACUGACGCUGAGGUGCGAAAGCGUGGGGAGCAAACAGG
This 253-nucleotide ribosomal RNA is filed under the name uncultured bacterium. RNAcentral's name for it is "partial 16S ribosomal RNA". It matches the Rfam family "Bacterial small subunit ribosomal RNA", at positions 524 to 776 of the family's 1533-position model. The record is from RNAcentral.